GGCGACUUUGUUCUUUGAGCUCUUUCCGAUGGGUAUGUCGCCUUGAAGCUCUGGAAAAAAGAAAACCAUGACGUUUAAAAUUUAACGAGUGAAAUAGAAGGUGCCUAGGUCGGACGAUAAUUAUUAUCAAAUUUACAUAAGCCGCGCGAAUAAAACAUAGCAGCUUUAAAUCCGACAAGACCCGUAACAUUAAUUCUAUGGAUAAUAUUGUUAUAGCAACGACGUUUCCGAUUUUCAAGUACCCAGUUAUAUGGUUUCUGCGAUGGUGAUUAAACGGCAGAGAUUUCAAUCGCUGUUCGGGAAACUACUGCUCAACGAUGGUCGACGGUGCAGUUAUUAUUUACACUCGACCCUCGUAUAAUAUUCAGCAAGUAUUGUGAUGAUAAUAAUAAUAAUCAUAUGGAAGGGAAAUUUAUCUAACAAGUUGCAGUGGAAAAAGCGUUCAACGGACAGAAAAAAACGAAAAUAUAAUGAUGAUUUUGCUGUGAUGAACUUCAAAAAAUAAAACAAAACGAUAUUUUAAAAUUUUAUUCAAAAUUCUACACAAAGAUUUCCCUGCUUUAAGAGACUUUAUAAUGAAAAUGGCUACUGUAUUUGACUCGACGUAUAUAUGCGAACAGAUAUUUUCAAGAAUGAAACAAACAAAAUCGGUUCAUGGAUCGCGACUUACGGAUGAACACCUUCAUUCAAUUUUGAGGAUUGGAACCACUAAAUUUCAACCAGAUUUUUCAUUAUUAGUAAAAGAAGU
Melanaphis sacchari is the source of this 748-nucleotide long non-coding RNA. RefSeq lists it as uncharacterized. The record is from RefSeq and is a predicted model, not a curated record. Lineage: Eukaryota; Metazoa; Arthropoda; Insecta; Hemiptera; Aphididae. The transcript has 4 exons.